This 1205-nucleotide ribosomal RNA is filed under the name metagenome. Its description in RNAcentral is "bacterial SSU rRNA". It matches the Rfam family "Bacterial small subunit ribosomal RNA", at positions 242 to 1472 of the family's 1533-position model. The record is from RNAcentral.
UAGCUAGUUGGUGAGGUAAUGGCCCACCAAGGCGACGAUCGGUAGCCGGACUGAGAGGUUGAACGGCCACAUUGGGACUGAGACACGGCCCAGACUCCUACGGGAGGCAGCAGUGGGGAAUAUUGCACAAUGGGGGAAACCCUGAUGCAGCGACGCCGCGUGGAGGAAGAAGGUCUUCGGAUUGUAAACUCCUGUUGUUGGGGAAGAUAAUGACGGUACCCAACAAGGAAGUGACGGCUAACUACGUGCCAGCAGCCGCGGUAAAACGUAGGUCACAAGCGUUGUCCGGAAUUACUGGGUGUAAAGGGAGCGCAGGCGGGAAGACAAGUUGGAAGUGAAAUCUAUGGGCUCAACCCAUAAACUGCUUUCAAAACUGUUUUUCUUGAGUAGUGCAGAGGUAGGCGGAAUUCCCGGUGUAGCGGUGGAAUGCGUAGAUAUCGGGAGGAACACCAGUGGCGAAGGCGGCCUACUGGGCACCAACUGACGCUGAGGCUCGAAAGUGUGGGUAGCAAACAGGAUUAGAUACCCUGGUAGUCCACACCGUAAACGAUGAUUACUAGGUGUUGGAGGAUUGACCCCUUCAGUGCCGCAGUUAACACAAUAAGUAAUCCACCUGGGGAGUACGACCGCAAGGUUGAAACUCAAAGGAAUUGACGGGGGCCCGCACAAGCAGUGGAGUAUGUGGUUUAAUUCGACGCAACGCGAAGAACCUUACCAAGUCUUGACAUCCCUUGACAGACAUAGAAAUAUGUAAUCUCUUCGGAGCAAGGAGACAGGUGGUGCAUGGUUGUCGUCAGCUCGUGUCGUGAGAUGUUGGGUUAAGUCCCGCAACGAGCGCAACCCUUAUGGUCAGUUACUACGCAAGAGGACGCUGGCCAGACUGCCGUUGACAAAACGGAGGAAGGUGGGGAUGACGUCAAAUCAUCAUGCCCUUUAUGACUUGGGCUACACACGUACUACAAUGGCGUUAAACAAAGAGAAGCAAGACCGCGAGGUGGAGCAAAACUCAGAAACAACGUCCCAGUUCGGACUGCAGGCUGCAACUCGCCUGCACGAAGUCGGAAUUGCUUGUAAUCGUGGAUCAGCAUGCCACGGUGAAUAUGUUCCCGGGCCUUGUACACACCGCCCGUCACACCAUGAGAGCCGGGGGGACCCGAAGUCGGUAGUCUAACCGCAAGGAGGACGCCGCCGAUGGUAAAACUGGU